UUGAAUUUAAGGCCCAAAGACCAUCGAAUUUGGUAGGAACCCUAAUCCGGGUUGGAGCGCAUCUUCAUGUUCUUCGCUUCUCUCAUCGGCGGAAGGGACGAUUCGGAUUUCUGUAACGCUAUGUGUUGUGAUUUUCCGUCUUAAAUCCUCUUAAUUCGCAAGCCCACUCCAAGACCUUUCGAUUGCGUUGUUCGUCGGCAAAAUCGUAGGCCAGACUGCUUCGAUUCUGGGAGGUUAGGAAUGUUAAGCGUGGUGGGAGCUUAAGUGGAUGGAUUUGCUCAUGGUGGAUGUUAACGCAACCAUGAUGCAAGUGACGAUCAGUUCAAGCCAUCUCCUACAAUACCGGGAGAGACUCAUUGCCGGAACAAUGUUUUCCAUGUCCGUUGAUGUCUCUAGAUGUGCACAGAGCUUCCGGCUCACGAGUCUUCUCUGUUGAUCAGGUUCAACGAGAACACCAUUUUCGAGGAGAUAACUGAUCCAUAUCCCCCUUGCCCGAGGAAGCAUUUCGGUUUCGUAACCAUUCUGAGAUGAUUGGUUUAGCCAAUACAAACAUUCAAUUGCCAGGUAUAUUGCUCCCAAAUGACACGUACCUCUUAUAUUGUUGAACUUCUGUGUGUAAAGAGUAUGGUCUGUUUAUAUAUGUAAGAAAGUGAUAUAUAUCUCAUACUUUAUGUAGACGUCAUAGGUGAAAUACUUGGUGUGAAAAGCAUCAGUUUAGUCUAAAGACAUACAGCCAUUGAGUUAUUGACCUUUCUUACACUUACUGAAAACAUGGUUUACAAAUUAUACUCUGUUUAUAGACGCUAUCCUCUGUUUUGCAAUUUACAUUUCGUAGACCAACGACUCUGUCGUCUAAUAAAGUAAACCAACUCCCGGUUUGAUGAAACCAUCAUAAAGACACAAACCCAAAGUCUACUAAACGUUUACAUACACAUAGCCCAAAUCACAUAUUGUACGUGCUUCAAAUACUUUAAUAUAUCGGUGGAAUUAACCAUACUACCUUAUUGAUACAACAAUAAAAAUAUAUAUGUUUUAAAUGAAAUUUUAUUCAACAAUAAAAUAGUUUUAGUUAAAAUGAAUAAGUUGUUUUUUAAUAUCGCAUAAAUUAUUAGUUUAAAAGAAAAUAUGGAAAAACAAAUUAAUACAUGAAACAAAAAUAUAACUAAGAGAAAGUAACUUUGCUUUACUAACUCUAAUUCUAAAUUAAAAAACCUAUGUGACUUACUGCUGUAUUUAAACAAAAAAAAACAUCAAAAGAAAGUAAAUAAUUUUAUUUAUAAAAUUUUAUUACAAUUAGACAAAUUUAUAAUUUGUAAAAUGAAGAAUAAAGUACAUAGAUAAAAUUGUUGUAAAACAAUUAUGAACCUUAUUUUCAUUUUAAAUUAAAAUUAAAAUAAAAUUUAACAUAUUAAUAAAUUACGAUGCCUAUGUAUUUAUUCAUCAACUCCUCUGAAUCAGUUUCAUAUUUUCCCCCCAUAACUGGUACGU
Long non-coding RNA from Brassica napus (rape), 1488 nucleotides. RefSeq lists it as uncharacterized. The record is from RefSeq and is a predicted model, not a curated record. The transcript has 3 exons. NCBI's taxonomy places the organism in Eukaryota, Viridiplantae, Streptophyta, Magnoliopsida, Brassicales, Brassicaceae.